AGAGCGAACGCUGGCGGCAGGCCUAACACAUGCAAGUCGAACGCACCUUCGGGUGAGUGGCGGACGGGUGAGUAACACGUGGGAACGUACCUUUUGGUUCGGAAUAACGCAGGGAAACUUGCGCUAAUACCGAAUGUGCUCCGUAAGGAGGAAAGAUUUAUCGCCAUUAGAGCGGCCCGCGUUAGAUUAGCUAGUUGGUGAGGUAAAGGCUCACCAAGGCUACGAUCUAUAGCUGGUCUGAGAGGAUGAUCAGCCACAUUGGGACUGAGACACGGCCCAAACUCCUACGGGAGGCAGCAGUGGGGAAUCUUGCGCAAUGGGCGAAAGCCUGACGCAGCCAUGCCGCGUGAAUGAUGAAGGUCUUAGGAUUGUAAAAUUCUUUCAGUAGGACGAUAUGACGGUACUACAGAAGAAGCCCGGCUAACUUCGUGCCAGCAGCCGC
Molecule: ribosomal RNA, 442 nt
Filed under: uncultured bacterium
Lineage: Bacteria
Description: SSU rRNA
Rfam family: Bacterial small subunit ribosomal RNA
Source: RNAcentral